This 250-nucleotide ribosomal RNA is filed under the name uncultured prokaryote. RNAcentral's name for it is "partial 16S ribosomal RNA". It matches the Rfam family "Bacterial small subunit ribosomal RNA", at positions 524 to 772 of the family's 1533-position model. The record is from RNAcentral.
UACGUAGGGUGCGAGCGUUGUCCGGAAUUAUUGGGCGUAAAGAGCUCGUAGGCGGUCUGUCGCGUCGGUCGUGAAAACUUGGGGCUUAACCCUGAGCUUGCGGUCGAUACGGGCAUGACUGGAGUUCGGCAGGGGAGACUGGAAUUCCUGGUGUAGCGGUGAAAUGCGCAGAUAUCAGGAGGAACACCGGUGGCGAAGGCGGGUCUCUGGGCCGAUACUGACGCUGAGGAGCGAAAGCGUGGGGAGCGAA